UACGUAGGGGGCCAGCGUUGUUCGGAAUUACUGGGCGUAAAGGGUUCGUAGGCGGUGUAGCAAGUCGGGUGUGAAAUCUCUGGGCUUAACCCAGAGGCUGCUUCCGAAACUGCUGUGCUUGAGUGUGGGAGAGGCGCGUGGAAUUGCAGGUGUAGCGGUGAAAUGCGUAGAUAUCGUGUGGAACGCCAAUGGUGAAAGCAGCAGGCUGGGGAUGUGCUGACGCUGAGACGCGAAAGCCAGGGGAGCAAACGGG
Molecule: ribosomal RNA, 253 nt
Filed under: uncultured bacterium
Lineage: Bacteria
Description: partial 16S ribosomal RNA
Rfam family: Bacterial small subunit ribosomal RNA
Source: RNAcentral